RNAcentral lists this ribosomal RNA (681 nucleotides) under Bacillus sp. (in: firmicutes). RNAcentral's name for it is "bacterial SSU rRNA". It matches the Rfam family "Bacterial small subunit ribosomal RNA", at positions 37 to 699 of the family's 1533-position model. The record is from RNAcentral. Lineage: Bacteria; Bacillati; Bacillota; Bacilli; Caryophanales; Bacillaceae.
UGGCGGCGUGCCUAAUACAUGCAAGUCGAGCGAACUGAUUAGAAGCUUGCUUCUAUGACGUUAGCGGCGGACGGGUGAGUAACACGUGGGCAACCUGCCUGUAAGACUGGGAUAACUUCGGGAAACCGAAGCUAAUACCGGAUAGGAUCUUCUCCUUCAUGGGAGAUGAUUGAAAGAUGGUUUCGGCUAUCACUUACAGAUGGGCCCGCGGUGCAUUAGCUAGUUGGUGAGGUAACGGCUCACCAAGGCAACGAUGCAUAGCCGACCUGAGAGGGUGAUCGGCCACACUGGGACUGAGACACGGCCCAGACUCCUACGGGAGGCAGCAGUAGGGAAUCUUCCGCAAUGGACGAAAGUCUGACGGAGCAACGCCGCGUGAGUGAUGAAGGCUUUCGGGUCGUAAAACUCUGUUGUUAGGGAAGAACAAGUACAAGAGUAACUGCUCGUACCUUGACGGUACCUAACCAGAAAGCCACGGCUAACUACGUGCCAGCAGCCGCGGUAAUACGUAGGUGGCAAGCGUUAUCCGGAAUUAUUGGGCGUAAAGCGCGCGCAGGCGGUUUCUUAAGUCUGAUGUGAAAGCCCACGGCUCAACCGUGGAGGGUCAUUGGAAACUGGGGAACUUGAGUGCAGAAGAGAAAAGCGGAAUUCCACGUGUAGCGGUGAAAUGCGUAAAGAUGU